This 282-nucleotide long non-coding RNA is filed under the name Homo sapiens (human). RNAcentral's name for it is "HSALNT0051870". Lineage: Eukaryota; Metazoa; Chordata; Mammalia; Primates; Hominidae. The record is from RNAcentral.
GCGGGCACGGCCGAAGGACCGGGAGGCGGUGGCUCGGCCCGAAUCGCCGUGAAGAAAGCGCAACUACGCUCCGCUCCGCGGGCCAAGAAACUGGAGAAACUCGGAGUGUACUCCGCCUGCAAGCCACAGCUGACUUGAAGCAGUAAAUAAAUGGUGAGAGUGACAGAGUGCUAAGAAUAGUAGAGAAGGGGCAGAAGAAUUAUUUUUAUAAGUGGCUGAGGUCAUUCAUUGCAAGCACAAAUGAAAGGUCAGAUCACUUAAAGAAGGCUACAUCAUGUUCAC